Molecule: ribosomal RNA, 2280 nt
Filed under: Clostridioides difficile
Lineage: Bacteria; Bacillati; Bacillota; Clostridia; Peptostreptococcales; Peptostreptococcaceae
Description: bacterial LSU rRNA
Rfam family: Bacterial large subunit ribosomal RNA
Source: RNAcentral
UCAAGUUAUUAAGGGUGCAGGGCGGAUGCCUUGGCACUAGGAGCCGAUGAAGGACGUGAUAAGCUGCGAUAAGCUUCGGGGAGUUGCACGUAAACUUUGAUCCGAAGAUUUCCGAAUGAGGAAACUCACUUAGAGUAAUGUCUAAGUAUCAUUAAGUGAAUACAUAGCUUAAUGAGGGGAACUCAGGGAACUGAAACAUCUAAGUACCUGAAGGAAGAGAAAGAAAUUCGAUUCCGUAAGUAGCGGCGAGCGAACGCGGAUUAGCCCAAACCAAUAAAGUUUUCUUUAUUGGGGUUGUGGACAUAUCAUAACGAAGAGGUAUCGUAAUUGAAGAGGUUUGGAAAGACCCACCACAGAAGGUAAUAGUCCUGUAUGUUAAACGAGAAGACUUUAGAUAUGAUCCAGAGUACCACGGGACACGUGAAACCCUGUGGGAAGCAGGAGGGACCACCCUCCAAGGCUAAAUACUACCUAGUGACCGAUAGCGUAUAGUACCGUGAGGGAAAGGUGAAAAGAACCCCGGGAGGGGAGUGAAAUAGAACCUGAAACCCUGCACUUACAAGCUGUGGAAGCACAUUUCUUGUGUGACCGCGUACUUUUUGUAGAACGGGCCAACGAGUUACGUUAAGUAGCAAGGUUAAGCACUUAAGGUGCGGAGCCGUAGCGAAAGCGAGUUUUAACUGAGCGUUCAGUUACUUGACGUAGACCCGAAACCGGGCGACCUACCCAUGAGCAGGAUGAAGCGAAAGUAAAAUUUCGUGGAGGUCCGAACCCACGAGCGUUGAAAAGCUCGGGGAUGACUUGUGGGUAGCGGUGAAAUUCCAAUCGAGCCCGGAGAUAGCUGGUUCUCCCCGAAAUAGCUUUAGGGCUAGCCUCAAGGUGAGAGAUACGGAGGUAGAGCACUGAAUGUCCUAGGGGGUAUUGCACCUACCGAAGACUAUCAAACUCCGAAUGCCGUCAUCUUAUACUUGGGAGUCAGACUGUGGGUGAUAAGAUUCAUAGUCGAAAGGGCAACAGCCCAGAUCGUCAGCUAAGGUCCCUAAAUGUAAGUUAAGUGGUAAAGGAUGUGGGAUUGCACAGACAACCAGGAUGUUGGCUUAGAAGCAGCCACUCAUUCAAAGAGUGCGUAAUAGCUCACUGGUCGAGUGAUCCUGCGCCGAAGAUUUCCGGGGCUAAAACUUACUACCGAAGCUACGGCAUCAGUAAUGAUGGGUAGGGGAGCUUCCCAUACGGGUUGAAGCAUGACCGUAAGGACAUGUGGACAGUAUGGGAGUGAGAAUGUUGGCAUGAGUAGCGAGAUGUGGGUGAGAAUCCCACAGGCCGUAAACCCAAGGUUUCCAGGGGAAGGUUCGUCCGCCCUGGGUUAGUCGGGACCUAAGCUGAGGCCGAAAGGCGUAGGUGAUGGACAACAGGUUGAUAUUCCUGUACUACCGAUAACCGUUUGAGAGAUGGGAUGACACAGUAGGAUAAGCUAAGCACACUGUUGGUUAUGUGUGCCCAAGCAUUGAGGCAGUCAAAGUAGGUAAAUCCGCUUUGAUAAUGCUGGGAUGUGAUGGGGAGCGAAAUUUAGUAGCGAAGUAGCUGAUUUCACACUGUCAAGAAAAGUCUCUAUCGAGGUUAAAGGUACCCGUACCGCAAACCGACACAGGUGGGUGAGGAGAGUAUCCUAAGGCCAGCGAGAGAACUGUUGUUAAGGAACUCGGCAAAAUGACCCCGUAACUUAGGGAUAAGGGGUGCCACCAUCAGGUGGCCGCAGAGAAUAGGCCCAAGCGACUGUUUACCAAAAACAUAGGUUUCUGCUAAGUCGCAAGACGAUGUAUAGGAGCUGACGCCUGCCCGGUGCUGGAAGGUUAAGGGGAUCUGUUAGAGCAAUCGAAGCAGUGAACUUAAGCCCCAGUAAACGGCGGCCGUAACUAUAACGGUCCUAAGGUAGCGAAAUUCCUUGUCGGGUAAGUUCCGACCCGCACGAAAGGCGUAACGAUUUGGGCACUGUCUCAACAACAGACUCGGUGAAAUUGUAAUUCCGGUGAAGAUGCCGGAUACCUGCGACAGGACGGAAAGACCCCAUGGAGCUUUACUGUAGCUUGACAUUGGGUCUUGGUACUACAUGUACAGGAUAGGUGGGAGGCUUUGAAACCAGGACGCCAGUUUUGGCGGAGCCAUCCUUGGGAUACCACCCUUGUAGUACUGGGACUCUAACCAUAGGCCAUGAAUCUGGUCUUGGGACACUGUCAGGUGGGCAGUUUGACUGGGGCGGUCGCCUCCCAAAAGGUAACGGAG